GUCCCCUCGGGGACAUCCGAUAAAAUUGGAACGAUAUAGAGAAGAUUAGUAUGGCCCUUGCGCAAGGAUGAUGACACGCACAAAUCGAGAAAUGGUCCAAAUUUUU
This 106-nucleotide small nuclear RNA is filed under the name Trifolium pratense (red clover). The record is from RNAcentral. Lineage: Eukaryota; Viridiplantae; Streptophyta; Magnoliopsida; Fabales; Fabaceae.